Molecule: transfer RNA, 71 nt
Filed under: Dipodomys ordii (Ord's kangaroo rat)
Lineage: Eukaryota; Metazoa; Chordata; Mammalia; Rodentia; Heteromyidae
Rfam family: tRNA
About the family: Transfer RNA (tRNA) molecules are approximately 80 nucleotides in length.
Source: Rfam by way of RNAcentral
UUGUGUGUGCUCAAAGGUAUAGCAUUUGCCUUGCAUGUAUAUGGCCCUGGGUUUGAUUCCCAGCACAGAAA